This 504-nucleotide ribosomal RNA is filed under the name uncultured bacterium. RNAcentral's name for it is "partial 16S ribosomal RNA". It matches the Rfam family "Bacterial small subunit ribosomal RNA", at positions 30 to 523 of the family's 1533-position model. The record is from RNAcentral.
AUUGAACGCUGGCGGCAGGCCUAACACAUGCAAGUCGAACGGUAGCACAGAGGGCUUGCUCUUGGGUGACGAGUGGCGGACGGGUGAGUAAUGUCUGGGAAACUGCCCGAUGGAGGGGGAUAACUACUGGAAACGGUAGCUAAUACCGCAUAACGUCUUCGGACCAAAGUGGGGGACCUUCGGGCCUCACACCAUCGGAUGUGCCCAGAUGGGAUUAGCUAGUAGGUGGGGUAAUGGCUCACCUAGGCGACGAUCCCUAGCUGGUCUGAGAGGAUGACCAGCUACACUGGAACUGAGACACGGUCCAGACUCCGCCGGGAGGCAGCAGUGGGGAAUAUUGCACAAUGGGCGCAAGCCUGAUGCAGCCAUGCCGCGUGUAUGAAGAAGGCCUUCGGGUUGUAAAGUACUUUCAGCGGGGAGGAAGGCGAUGGAGUUAAUAGCUUCAUCGAUUGACGUUACCCGCAGAAGAAGCACCGGCUAACUCCGUGCCAGCAGCCGCCGUAA